Molecule: long non-coding RNA, 2222 nt
Filed under: Homo sapiens (human)
Lineage: Eukaryota; Metazoa; Chordata; Mammalia; Primates; Hominidae
Source: RNAcentral
CUACUUGGGAGACUGAAGCGGGAGAAUGGCGUGACCCCGGGAGGCGGAGCUUGCAGUGAGCCGAGAUCGCGCCACUGCAGUCCAGCCUGGGCAACAGAGUGAGACUCUGUCUCAAAAAAAAAAAAAAAAAAAAAAAAAAAAUCACAUAACUGUAUGGUUGAAUAUCCAUUGUGUUCUUUACAAAGUAUGUCAUUCUUUCUGUAACAUCCGUGGUGGAAUAUAACCUUAGUAUUACACAACCACCAUCAGCAGCAGCAGCAUUUGAGAGCUUAGCAGAAAUGUAGAAUGUCGGGCUCCAUCUCGGACCUACUGAAUCAAAAUCUGCAUUUUAGCAAGAUCUCCAGGUGAUAUACAGGAUCAUUAAAGUUAGAGAAGUCCUGGUAUACAGGAUAAGUCUUACCAAUUGCUGUAUAGACCUAUGUUCACUUCAUGGAUAACAUUUGCUCUAGAAAAGAAAAAUUAACCAGUAGAGAGGGCCAGCAACUGUUCAUACCCUAGAGCUGUGAUUGGCCACCUAAUAGUGUCUAAAAUUAUGAUGCUGACAAUGACACUGCUGCUGCUGUGGAUAACACCCAUUAUCAGGUGUUUCCAAGUGUUAGCCAUUUUGUCUAAUAUGUCAACUAAUCUGUUUAACUAUCAUCUACCUCCUGAGUUUUAUGCUCUUUUACAGACAAGACAAUUGAGGCAACAGGUUGCCUAGGAUCACCACCCCCUUGUAAAUACAAGCAUUCUGAUGGCUAGCCUCAGGUAUGCCCAAGGUAGAGUCUGUGACUGGGAGCUGAACUUUUUAAAAGUAAGACAGACUAUUUGUUUCAAAUAGGAAGAAACUAUGACACUUGAAAGCUUCCUAUGAAGUUGUCAAUUGAAAUUUGUUUAGAUAAUAUUUGUAAUGAGCAAUGUGUUCUCCAAUUUGCAUAUUUGAAAAGAUAAGGAAAGCCUUCUGUUUUAAGCUCAUAUCACAUGUUCAGGCUAUCAGAUCACAAUUUAUUGUGUAUUAUGUGCCAUGUGGCAUCUUAAGCCCCAUUAGAGGCCCUUAGCCCUGGGCAUUCUACUGGCAUCUAAAGGAUGCCUUGAGAGUGAGCUGCUUUUCUGAGGACAAAUAUUUGUACAUUUGUAACAUGGGGAAAGGACUCCUUACUUGAAAUGGCUUUAGAAUUGUAGAGAACAUAGAAAUGCGGUUUGUCUCUUGUGUGCUAAAUUAAAUCCUUUUAAAGGAAGACAUCCUUUGAGAAAGGAGAUGCAGGAAUACCAACAUUUUGAUGUUUAUUGGGUGACAAAAAUCAACUCAAUCAACAAAUGGUUUUGAAAAUAACAUUGAAAUGUGAAUUGGAAGCAAAAGGUAGUGAGGUCAUGUUAUGGUGCAGAAAAACAAUGCUGUGUGUACUGCUGAUCAACUAGGUAGGCAUUAGCGGGUGGAUCAUGGCCACUAGCAUGGGAAAGGGAAGAGUUUUUAUAAAUGAACUAGAAUAGACUGCAUAUUCAAGUAGGAAUAAUGACUCUUUUUAAAAAUUAUUACAUUUGUUCCUGGUUUAAAAGGAGAGCUACAUAUAUAACAUAAAUUUAUACAACCUCAAAGGAUAUACUGUGAAGAUUAGUUUCUUCUCCUCUUCUGUCCCCAGACCCAAGUUUCCCUACUGACACAACCAGUGUGUGCAGCUCCUUGUAUAUUUUUCAGAAAUAUCCUCCAAAUACCUCAUAAAGAGUUAUGAAAUAUCUUCAUAAAUAAACAGUAUAUGCAAAAGCCUUGUUAAACAAAAGGGUAAUAUACCAGGGGCCCCUAAUCCCCUGGCCACAAACCAGAGCACAGGUCUGUAACCUGUUAGGAACCAGGCUGCACAGCAGGAAGUGUGUGGCCUGCAAGUGAGAGAAGCUUCAUCUGUAUUUACAGCCAGUCAAAAUCACUUGCAUUACAACCUGAGCUUCGCCUCCUGUCAGAUCAGUGGUGGCGUUAGAUUCUCAUAGCAGUGCGAACCCUGUUGUGAACUGUGCAUGCGAGUGAUCUGGGUUGUGCACUCCUUAUGAGAAUCUAAUGCCUGAUGAUCUGUCACUGUCCCCAUCACCCUCAGAUGGGUCCAUCUAGUUGCAGGAAAACAAGCUCAGGGCUCCCACUGAUUCUACGGAAGCUAUUUAUUACUAUUAUUAUUGUUGUUGUUAUUACUGAUUUGAGUGAGAAAGCUAGGAUAGGAAUUCACCCAAGAUGCUUGUCUUUGGAUCCCUUGCUC